This is a regulatory RNA element of 152 nucleotides. It matches the Rfam family "Ribosomal protein L10 leader". From Rfam's summary of the family: This family is a putative r-protein leader autoregulatory structure found in B. subtilis and other low-GC Gram-positive bacteria. It is located in the 5' untranslated regions of mRNAs encoding ribosomal proteins L10 and L12 (rplJ-rplL). A Rho-independent transcription terminator structure that is probably involved in regulation is included at the 3' end. The record is from Rfam.
AAAUAAAUAACAUUUGUACCGUAGACAGUAGGUGCUAAUUUUUUAGCUUAAUUUCCUGCCGAGGUAAUACGAUAGAUUAUUUGAUCAGUUGUGAGAACGACUAUUGUAUACACCUCCAUGUCUGAAAGAUAUGGAGGAUUUUAUUUGUCGGU